AUUGAACGCUGGCGGCAGGCCUAACACAUGCAAGUCGAACGAGUGGCGGACGGGUGAGUAAUGUCUGGGAAACUGCCUGAUGGAGGGGGAUAACUACUGGAAACGGUAGCUAAUACCGCAUACCAUCGGAUGUGCCCAGAUGGGUUUAGCUAGUAGGUGGGGUAAAGGUUCACCUAGGCGACGAUCCCUAGCUGGUCUGAGAGGAGGACCAGCCACACUGGAACGGUGAAACGUUCCAGACUCCUACGGGAGGCAGCAGGGGGGAAUAUUGCACAAUGGGCGCAAGGCUGAUGCAGCCAUGCCGCGUGUAUGAAGAAGGCCUUCGGGUUGUAAAGUACUUUCAGCGGGGAGGCGGUAAGGGAAGAAGAAGCACCGGCUAACUCCGUGCCAGCAGCCGCGGUAAUAG
This 406-nucleotide ribosomal RNA is filed under the name uncultured bacterium. Its description in RNAcentral is "partial 16S ribosomal RNA". It matches the Rfam family "Bacterial small subunit ribosomal RNA", at positions 29 to 526 of the family's 1533-position model. The record is from RNAcentral.